GCUAGUGUAGCUUAAUGCAAAGCAUGGCACUGAAGAUGCUAAGAUAGAAGCUCAAAAUUUUUCACAAGCA
Molecule: transfer RNA, 70 nt
Filed under: Rhynchobatus djiddensis (giant guitarfish)
Lineage: Eukaryota; Metazoa; Chordata; Chondrichthyes; Rhinopristiformes; Rhynchobatidae
Also listed under: 3 other names
Description: tRNA-Phe
Rfam family: tRNA
About the family: Transfer RNA (tRNA) molecules are approximately 80 nucleotides in length. Their secondary structure includes four short double-helical elements and three loops (D, anti-codon, and T loops).
Source: RNAcentral